GUGCCAGCAGCCGCGGUAAUACGUAGGUGGCAAGCGUUGUCCGGAAUUAUUGGGCGUUUAGCGCGCGCAGGCGGUCCUUUAAGUCUGAUGUGAAAGCCCACGGCUCAACCGUGGAGGGUCAUUGGAAACUGGGGGACUUGAGUACAGAAGAGGAAAGUGGAAUUCCAUGUGUAACGGUGAAAUGCGUAGAGAUGUGGAGGAACACCAGUGGCGAAGGCGGCUCUCUGGUCUGUAACUGACGCUGAGGCGCGAAAGCAUGGGUAGCGAACAGGAUUAGAUACCCCAGUAGUCC
Molecule: ribosomal RNA, 292 nt
Filed under: uncultured prokaryote
Description: partial 16S ribosomal RNA
Rfam family: Bacterial small subunit ribosomal RNA
Source: RNAcentral